This 468-nucleotide ribosomal RNA is filed under the name uncultured bacterium. Its description in RNAcentral is "partial 16S ribosomal RNA". It matches the Rfam family "Bacterial small subunit ribosomal RNA", at positions 28 to 507 of the family's 1533-position model. The record is from RNAcentral.
GACGAACGCUGGCGGCGUGCUUAACACAUGCGAGUCGAACGGAAAGGCCCUGCUUUUGUGGGGUGCUCGAGUGGCGAACGGGUGAGUAACACGUGAGUAACCUGCCCUUGACUUUGGGAUAACUUCAGGAAACUGGGGCUAAUACCGGAUAGGAGCUCCUGCUGCAUGGUGGGGGUUGGAAAGUUUCGGCGGUUGGGGAUGGACUCGCGGCUUAUCAGCUUGUUGGUGGGGUAGUGGCUUACCAAGGCUUUGACGGGUAGCCGGCCUGAGAGGGUGACCGGCCACAUUGGGACUGAGAUACGGCCCAGAGUCCUACGGGGGGCAGCAGUGGGGAGUAUUGCACAAUGGGCGGGAGCCUGAUGCAGCAACGCCGCGUGCGGGAUGACGGCCUUCGGGUUGUAAACCGCUUUCGCCUGUGACGAAGCGUGAGUGACGGUAAUGGGUAAAGAAGCACCGGCUAACUACGUG